RNAcentral lists this unclassified non-coding RNA (3112 nucleotides) under Haliotis rufescens (red abalone). RNAcentral's name for it is "transcription factor IIIA-like, transcript variant X3". Lineage: Eukaryota; Metazoa; Mollusca; Gastropoda; Lepetellida; Haliotidae. The record is from RNAcentral.
GUAUCGUUGAAGAAGCCGACAUUGUUAUAGGGAAGAUAGGAAGACUGAAUUUUGAUGAAAAUACGCAACAUACUCGAAGUAAAUGAAGCGAUAAAUGGUGCAAAAGUCGCUUAAUACAGUCUUGCAACAUACUACGCAUAAUAUCUUCAGAAAUCUGUUCGAUGUAUUCGGACAGACACGUGUGAUUGCAGAUCGGCUUUCGAGGGAAACAAUGCAUGGCGAUUUGAGCGCGCACCUGCCCAUGCUGUGUCAUUCAUGGUGAUUUCGAAUCGUUCGACUCUUCUCGAGACCGGUAUUAAGGAAGCUGUAUUGUGAUAUUUUUGUGUGUUGCUGUAGUAAACAGACUCAAGCAUGUUCAUCGAAACAUUAGAAUUCACAAUUCCAGUGGAUUUGUGUGACCUAUUUUCCACUUUGAAAAGGGGGCCAAGAUCUAAUCUUGAAUUCCCGGCAUCCGUGAACUCGUAUGGUACAACGCAGGAUGCCAAUAUUCAAGUUGCUUUAAGAUCAAACAAAUUGACGUUCAAAGUGGACGGUGUGUCGUCAAAUUCAAGCAUGAUAUCAAAGAGUGAAUGUAAGACAUUAAAACUCUCAGUGUUCGAUGUGGACUGUUCCUUAGCCCCAGCAGAACAACCGAACAUCAUAAUGUCAAUGUCUGAAAAUAUACAUCAUUCAGUAACUCAUAAGAGAUCGUAUGACUUUUCUGUGCCAGUGUCUUCUCCUGCUCCAAAGAGUCGAAGGAUUUCAGAACCAGUGCAAUCUCGCCACAUUCCUCAACCUCAACCUCAAAACACUUCACGUCCGUCCAACAACUCUGAAUCAAAAUCUGCAAUUGACCCUCCAGUUAAUGUGAAACAAGAACCUGAAGAUCCAGAUUUAAUAGAAAUAGAACCUGACUCUGAAUUGAAUGAUAUCGUGCCAAAGAAAGAGACUCCAUACAUGCAAAUAGACUUCUCAUCAGGUGUACCUCAUACGCAAACGUCCCAAGCAGCUCUAGAUCGACUCUCUCAUCAACAAUCAUCGCAUUCUCAAUCGCCCGCAUCUUCAUCCUCAUCCUUCCAUCAAAACGUUCCACAUGUGCCAGAUUACGCCGAACCCAGUACUAGUCAAGUUCAUCAUGGUGACCAAAGUGCAGAUGACUUUUUAGUGUUUCAAGAAGACAAUGACUAUGGCGACGAUAACGAUAACGAAGCAGAUUACAGUAACGACGGUCACCCGAGUUCAGUCAGUGUUGGUCAGUCUGCCAGAAGGGGGGAGUCCAUAGCAAGACAGGCUUACUUUGGUAGUCUACAGUCCGACCUAGGAGUUGGACAUUCACCUUUCCAUGACUUCCAUAAGAUGAUAAGUCAAGCUUCCCGUGCUCAGUCGGGAUUAGGGGAUAGAAGUGGACCUUCUCUACACCCUGCUAUAAACUGCCCAAUAUGCUUGAAGAUGUUUACCACAAAGAGAGCCAUGCUGGUUCACAAGGCAGCAGUGCAUGACAAGCAGACAUAUUACUGUGUCUGUGGUAAACAGUAUAGGUACGGUCCGGGACUGCUCAGACAUCAUCAAACCUGUGAAUUGUGGAAACAGAUGUCGUCCAGCGAGGCCGGUCACAACGUGCCAUUGGAAUGAUAUCUCGAUUCAUGACAUUCUUUUUGUGCUAUGUGUUUUGUCCUGAUAUCAUCAAAAGAAUUGAGGAAAGAAGGGAGAACCUGUAUCCAUAAUAACCAGCUGGUUACAGACGGAUAGUGAUUCUAGCAGUGUGUGGACAAGAUGCAAUGCCUCAAGCUGGAUUGUGAUGAGCAGCUUGCUAACCUUCCCACCCAAAAAUGAUGGAAAUAUGAUGUUUUUCCGACAUUCGACUUUUGAAGCACUACUGGUGAUUCUGUUUGCUGUGUCAGCACAUUCCAGUGCUUUUGUGAUGUCUAAGUGGUGAACGUCAUCCUGUGCUUAUGUGACAUCAAUUAGUGAACAUCUUCAGCCUGUGCUUAUGUGACGUCAAUUAGUGAACAUCUUCAGCCUGUGCUUAUGUGAUGUCAAUUAGUGAACAUCUUCAGCCUGUGCUUUUGUGACGUCAAUAAGUGAACAUCUUCAGCCUGUGCUUAUGUGACAUCAAUUAGUGAACAUCUUCAGCCUGUGCUUAUGUGAUGUCAAUUAGUGAAUAUCUUCAACCUGUGCUUUUGUGACGUCAAUUAGUGAACAUCUUCAGCCUGUGCUUAUGUGAUGUCAAUUAGUGAACAUCUUCAGCCUGUGCUUAUGUGACGCCUGAGCGAUAAACAUCUCCAGCCUGUCGAGGGCUUUUAUGUUUUACAUUGACCUCAUUGGCUGAAAUCGGCCAACAUUGUGAAGUCAUCCUUUGUCAUAAUGGGGGCGGUCGGGUAGCCUAGUGGUUAAAAGUUGGCUCGUCACAGCUAAGACUCGGGUUCGAUUCCCCACAUGGGUACAAUGUUUGAAGCCCAUUUUCUGGUGUCCCCCGCCAUGAUAUUGCUGAAAUAUUGCUAAAAGGGGCGUAAAACCAUACUCACACACAUUGUCAUAAUGAGAACAGUACUCUGCAUAAUAAUGUUAAGCACAUGUUUUAUGUGUGGUUCUAUGAUGCAGCAUUAAACUCAGAUAAAUUCUUCAACAUGAAUCAUAGAUGAGAGAUCCGUGAAAAUCCAGGGUAGAAUAGAUCUUCAACAACCCAUGCUUGCCGUAAAAGGCGACUAUGCUCGCCGAAAGAGGUGACUAACGGGAUCGGAUGGUCAGGCUCGCUGACUUGGUUGAUGCAUGUCAUCGAUCCCAAUUGCCUGGAUCGAUGCUCAUGAUGUCAGUCAUGCUGAGUGCGGCGUUAAACAACCAACCAACCAACCAUAGAUGAGAAGGAAGGUGAAGUGGUCGUGGUUGAGCCACAGCGGUAAUUGGGCAUGAUCAGUGAGGGAGGUAGCAUUAUGUUCAUUGAAUACAGUAUUCAGUUUAGAGACCCUCAGUUGUUGGAUCAUACAAGCCAAUUGUGAACCAUGGCCAUAGCUCUAAUAGAGAAGGGGGCACGGGUGGCCCAGUCGUCUAACGCGCUGCGAUUUGCUGUGCAGAGUUGCGUCCCUUGGGCACGCCAGAAACCUAUGAUUAUGGGUUCAAAUCCCUAGAUGCCCCG